Molecule: transfer RNA, 76 nt
Filed under: Paenibacillus allorhizosphaerae
Lineage: Bacteria; Bacillati; Bacillota; Bacilli; Caryophanales; Paenibacillaceae
Description: Paenibacillus sp. JJ-447 tRNA-Met
Rfam family: tRNA
About the family: Transfer RNA (tRNA) molecules are approximately 80 nucleotides in length. Their secondary structure includes four short double-helical elements and three loops (D, anti-codon, and T loops).
Source: RNAcentral
GCGCCUUUAGUUUAAUGGCGAAGCAGUCCGGCUCAUAACCGGCCAUAUGAUGGUCCGAGUCCAUCAGGGCAUACCA